RNAcentral lists this long non-coding RNA (501 nucleotides) under Phoenix dactylifera (date palm). RNAcentral's name for it is "long non-coding RNA (PDAC_LNC004179)". Lineage: Eukaryota; Viridiplantae; Streptophyta; Magnoliopsida; Arecales; Arecaceae. The record is from RNAcentral.
UUGACGGCCAUUCUGACAGUUUCAACAGCGUAUGAGAUGAGUAAUUGGAUAUUGUCAGUGGUGUAACUGUUGUUUGAAUUCUUUCUUUCUUUUCUUUUUUUCUUGAGAAAGACUCCUGGAAUCCCAGGCAUAACCUAUUCAUGGAUAAGUUGGAUUUCUUGGCCGAUGGCAAGGGAAUAAGUAGCAGAGAAAGGGCAAUCCCAAGUUAUCCUCAGUGGCAACCAUGUUUGAGAAAUUAUUCGGACAUCCAAACAAGCACGAAAUAAAAGUUACAGAGUACGUGCACAAGGUAAGAAGAAACAUAACCCUUGCUUAAGUAGUAACUCAACAAGUUUCUGAAUGCCAAUAGAAUUCCAGUCUUUGGCGAGUUCAAGCUUGCUUUGCAAUGUUAAGCUGGUGCUCAGGGGAGAUGUUUCAACCCAAAAGUCAAUUAAAGUUUAGACAAGGCAAACAACAAGGGGGGUUAUUAUAAUGAAAAAGUGGUGCUAAUGGAAACCUUUU